GACGAACGCUGGCGGCGUGCCUAAUACAUGCAAGUCGAACGCUGAAGAGAGGAGCUUGCUCUUCUUGGAUGAGUUGCGAACGGGUGAGUAACGCGUAGGUAACCUGCCUUGUAGCGGGGGAUAACUAUUGGAAACGAUAGCUAAUACCGCAUAACAAUGGAUGACACAUGUCAUUUAUUUGAAAGGGGCAAUUGCUGCACUACAAGAUGGACCUGCGUUGUAUUAGCUAGUAGGUGAGGUAACGGCUCACCUAGGCGACGAUACAUAGCCGACCUGAGAGGGUGAUCUGCCACACUGGGACUGGGACACGGCCCAGACUCCUACGGGAGGCAGCAGUAGGGAAUCUUCGGCAAUGGGGGCAACCCUGACCGAGCAACGCCGCGUGAGGGAAGAAGGUUUUCGGAUCGGAAAGCUCUGUUGUAAGUCAAGAACGAGUGUGAGAGUUGAAAGUUCACACUGUGACGGUAGCUUACCAGAAAGGGACGGCUAACUACGUG
This 497-nucleotide ribosomal RNA is filed under the name uncultured bacterium. RNAcentral describes it as "partial 16S ribosomal RNA". It matches the Rfam family "Bacterial small subunit ribosomal RNA", at positions 28 to 507 of the family's 1533-position model. The record is from RNAcentral.